CCGACCUUCCUGAUGACGAGCGGCAAGGUCGCGUGAUUGGAUAAUCAUGAACUUACGGACGUCCGGUCUAUUGUUGCUCGGCCCUCCUGGUGACGAACAACAAGGUCGCGUGAUUGGAUAAUCAUCGUUAUGCGGACGUCCAGUCUGUUCGCUGCCCGGUCCCUACUGGUACAGUUGUAAAUAAAAUCCCCUGCUUCACAGAUAAAGACUACGAAACAAAAGAUAAAGAAUCAGAACACAACGUCAAUUCUAUUAAAAAUAGCAACCUGAGUUAAUGAACCACAACAUAACAAAGAAAAACCUAGACAAGAUAGAUAACGACAACCCGACCUACUGAAUAACAAUAUACGAACCAAAAAUAACUUGGACAACAAACACAACAAAAAUGUGAAAAAAUAAAAAGCAAACAAAAUAAACUUCCUUUCCAAAAUGCUAAUAGCACUAACCACAAAAUGGUGGCCUGAUGCAACCACGGGACUGGAAGAUGUCAUUCUACGCAGUGAAACAAUGGUAUGGUUCAUCAGGCUACACGCAGUCGGAGGGACAAGAGCAGGGACGAGAUGACUGAGUGAAGGUGAGGGACGAACAAGAGGCUUGCGUACGAGAAGGAGAUAGAGGAAAGAGAUCACUGAAAAUCGAACAUGAUUGUGGUUUCAAAUGGGGUAACCAAAACCCUUUUCGCAUUUCAAAUAAACGUAUGCACCACUCUCCCAAUUUCACCCUGGCUGAACAACACAAAAAUGAAAAUAAGAUUCACUUCUCUGAUUUAAUAAAAUCUUUUCAUUAGUACAUUUUCAUUGCCAUAUUCAAUCCAAACUUUAUUAUAUAAG
This 830-nucleotide small RNA is filed under the name Vigna angularis var. angularis. RNAcentral describes it as "Non-protein coding transcript". The record is from RNAcentral. Lineage: Eukaryota; Viridiplantae; Streptophyta; Magnoliopsida; Fabales; Fabaceae.